UACGGGGGGAGCAAGCGUUGUUCGGAUUUACUGGGCGUAAAGGGCGCGUAGGCGGUCAGCACAAGUCAGUUGUGAAAUCUCCGGGCUUAACUCGGAAAGGUCAACUGAUACUGUGCGACUAGAGUGCGAGAAGGGGCAACUGGAAUUCUCGGUGUAGCGGUGAAAUGCGUAGAUAUCGAGAGGAACACCUGCGGCGAAGGCGGGUUGCUGGGCUGACACUGACGCUGAUGCGCGAAAGCCAGGGGAGGCGAACGGG
RNAcentral lists this ribosomal RNA (256 nucleotides) under uncultured bacterium. Its description in RNAcentral is "partial 16S ribosomal RNA". It matches the Rfam family "Bacterial small subunit ribosomal RNA", at positions 524 to 776 of the family's 1533-position model. The record is from RNAcentral.